This 465-nucleotide ribosomal RNA is filed under the name Vreelandella stevensii. RNAcentral describes it as "partial 16S ribosomal RNA". It matches the Rfam family "Bacterial small subunit ribosomal RNA", at positions 338 to 795 of the family's 1533-position model. Lineage: Bacteria; Pseudomonadati; Pseudomonadota; Gammaproteobacteria; Oceanospirillales; Halomonadaceae. The record is from RNAcentral.
UCUACGGGUGGCAGCAGUGGGGAAUAUUGGACAAUGGGCGAAAGCCUGAUCCAGCCAUGCCGCGUGUGUGAAGAAGGCCUUCGGGUUGUAAAGCACUUUCAGUGGGGAAGAAAGCCUUGGGGCUAAUACCCUCGAGGAAGGACAUCACCCACAGAAGAAGCACCGGCUAACUCCCUGCCAGCAGCCGCGGUAAUACGGAGGGUGCGAGCGUUAAUCGGAAUUACUGGGCGUAAAGCGCGCGUAGGCGGUCUGAUAAGCCGGUUGUGAAAGCCCCGGGCUCAACCUGGGAACGGCAUCCGGAACUGUCAGGCUAGAGUGCAGGAGAGGAAGGUAGAAUUCCCGGUGUAGCGGUGAAAUGCGUAGAGAUCGGGAGGAAUACCAGUGGCGAAGGCGGCCUUCUGGACUGACACUGACGCUGAGGUGCGAAAGCGUGGGUAGCAAACAGGAUUAGAUACCCUAGUAGUC